UGCCAGGUCUGCAGAUUUGUCUGUAAAUCUGCAGAUUUGGGGUAUAGUGCUGCAGACAUUUCUUGUUGUGCAGACUUUUGAAAUUCUCGCAGACUUUUACAGACUUUUGAAAUUCUCGCAGACUUUCGUCUAUAUUUACAGACUUUUGAAAUUUCCGCGAUUUUUUUUUUGCUCGCCAAGUCAGUUUUUCCUGUCAUACUUUAUAGAGAAAUUGCUGCCAGCAAAACAUACUUGCUGACUGCAGAUAUUUUUUUCAGAUUUACAGGCCCUGUCUGCAGAUAUUUGAAAGUUUUACCUGGCAUCUCUGCUUCUAUUAAUUACCAAACGGUUUACACGUUUCUCACUUAACUCUUUGCAUAGAAUGAUGCUCGGAACGUUCGACAGAACUGUGAAAUCCAAGAAAAUCUUUUUAAAUCACAUCACAAUAAUCGAAAGAGAGAGUGAACAUAGAGAAACUGUCACUUGCUCUUACGGCCUUCUGAAAAGUCUACCGAGAAUAUGAGCACAAGUACUUAUUCAUAUCGCUCAGUUUUGCACUGAAGAAAAAUGGCUGCUUUGAUGAAUCACCCAAUUUCGUUUGUCUAAAAGCUGUUUAUCGAGAUUCCGACUCACGAGUAGCAAUCAAUUGAGGUACCUACCGAACAAAAUGUAACAAUCAUUAUUAUUAUUCAUACGAAUUAAACUGUUUGUAAUAUGUUCUAAAA
Malaya genurostris is the source of this 704-nucleotide long non-coding RNA. RefSeq lists it as uncharacterized. The transcript is spliced from 2 exons. Lineage: Eukaryota; Metazoa; Arthropoda; Insecta; Diptera; Culicidae. The record is from RefSeq and is a predicted model, not a curated record.